GCGAACGCUGGCGGCAGGCUUAACACAUGCAAGUCGAGCGGGCGUAGCAAUACGUCAGCGGCAGACGGGUGAGUAACACGUGGGAACGUACCUUUUGGUUCGGAACAACUGAGGGAAACUUCAGCUAAUACCGGAUAAGCCCUUACGGGGAAAGAUUUAUCGCCGAAAGAUCGGCCCGCGUCUGAUUAGCUAGUUGGUGAGGUAACGGCUCACCAAGGCGACGAUCAGUAGCUGGUCUGAGAGGAUGAUCAGCCACACUGGGACUGAGACACGGCCCAGACUCCUACGGGAGGCAGCAGUGGGGAAUAUUGGACAAUGGGCGCAAGCCUGAUCCAGCCAUGCCGCGUGAGUGAUGAAGGCCCUAGGGUUGUAAAGCUCUUUUGUGCGGGAAGAUAAUGACGGUACCGCAAGAAUAAGCCCCGGCUAACUUCGUGCCGACAGCGGCGGUAAUACUAAGGGGGCUAGCGUUGCUCGUAAUCACUGGGCGAAAAGGGUGCGUAUGCGGGUCUUUAAGUGAGGGAUGAUAUCCUGGAACUCAACUCCGGAACUGCCUUUGAUACUGAGGAUCUUGAGUUCGGAAGAGGUGAGAGGAACUGCGAGUGUAGAGGUGAAAUUCUUACAUCUUCGCGAGAUCACCAGUGGCGAAUGCGGCUCACUGGUCCUAUACUGACCCUAAGGGACCAAUGCCAGGGGAGACUAACCGAUUAGAUACCCACGUAUUGCAACGCCCCACACGACGAAUGUGUGUCAAUCGAGGGUUCACUCUUUCGCUCUGAGCCAUAAUCAUUUUAUAAUCACCUAGUGGAUACUACGGCCGCCAGCAUGAAAACUCAUAUGAAAUGAACUCCGAAC
This 852-nucleotide ribosomal RNA is filed under the name uncultured Alphaproteobacteria bacterium. Its description in RNAcentral is "bacterial SSU rRNA". It matches the Rfam family "Bacterial small subunit ribosomal RNA", at positions 29 to 926 of the family's 1533-position model. The record is from RNAcentral. Lineage: Bacteria; Pseudomonadati; Pseudomonadota; Alphaproteobacteria.